GAUGAAGAACGCAGCGAAAUGCGAUAAGUAAUGUGAAUUGCAGAAUUCAGUGAAUCAUCGAAUCUUUGAACGCACAUUGCGCCCGCCAGUAUUCUGGCGGGCAUGCCUGUCUGAGCGUCAUUUCAACCCUCAAGCAACUUCUGCUUGGUGUUGGGGAUCGGCCGUCAAACGCCGCCCCCGAAAUCUAUUGGCGAUCUCGCUGUAGCUUCCUAUGCGUAGUAGUAACAUCUCGCAUCUGGAGAGCGGCGCGGUCAUGCCGUAAAACACCCAACUUCUCAGGUUGACCUCAGAUCAGGUAGGAAUACCCGUUGAACUUAAGCAUAUCAAUAAGCGGAGGA
Molecule: unclassified non-coding RNA, 338 nt
Filed under: soil metagenome
Description: partial contains 5.8S ribosomal RNA, internal transcribed spacer 2, and large subunit ribosomal RNA
Rfam family: 5.8S ribosomal RNA (bases 1-120)
Source: RNAcentral